GACGGAGGAUGCAAGCGUUAUCCGGAAUGAUUGGGCGUAAAGCGUCCGCAGGUGGCAGUUCAAGUCUGCUGUCAAAGACCGGGGCUUAACUUCGGAAAGGCAGUGGAAACUGAACAGCUAGAGUAUGGUAGGGGCAGAGGGAAUUCCUGGUGUAGCGGUGAAAUGCGUAGAUAUCAGUCGGAACACCCAUGGCGAAGGCUGCUGCCUGGCCUAAUACUGACGCUGAGGUGCGAAAGCGUGGGGAGCGAACGGG
This 253-nucleotide ribosomal RNA is filed under the name uncultured prokaryote. RNAcentral's name for it is "partial 16S ribosomal RNA". It matches the Rfam family "Bacterial small subunit ribosomal RNA", at positions 524 to 776 of the family's 1533-position model. The record is from RNAcentral.